AGAGUUUGAUCCUGGCUCAGGAUGAACGCUGGCGGCGUGCUUAACACAUGCAAGUCGAACGGACAGGUAAUGAAACCUAGUGAUUUAUCUGUUAGUGGCGGACGGGUGAGUAACGCGUGGGUAACCUGCCGUAUACAGGGGGAUAACACUUAGAAAUAGGUGCUAAAACCGCAUAAGCGCACAGGAUCGCAUGGUCCGGUGUGAAAAACUCCGGUGGUAUACGAUGGACCCGCGUCUGAUUAGCUUGUUGGCGGGGUAGAGGCCCACCAAGGCGACGAUCAGUAGCCGGCCUGAGAGGGUGAACGGCCACAUUGGGACUGAGACACGGCCCAAACUCCUACGGGAGGCAGCAGUGGGGAAUAUUGCACAAUGGGGGAAACCCUGAUGCAGCGACGCCGCGUGAGUGAAGAAGUAUUUCGGUAUGUAAAGCUCUAUCAGCAGGAAAGAAAAUGACGGUACCUGACUAAGAAGCCCCGGCUAACUACGCG
RNAcentral lists this ribosomal RNA (488 nucleotides) under uncultured Lachnospiraceae bacterium. RNAcentral's name for it is "bacterial SSU rRNA". It matches the Rfam family "Bacterial small subunit ribosomal RNA", at positions 8 to 507 of the family's 1533-position model. Lineage: Bacteria; Bacillati; Bacillota; Clostridia; Lachnospirales; Lachnospiraceae. The record is from RNAcentral.